RNAcentral lists this ribosomal RNA (252 nucleotides) under uncultured bacterium. RNAcentral's name for it is "partial 16S ribosomal RNA". It matches the Rfam family "Bacterial small subunit ribosomal RNA", at positions 524 to 776 of the family's 1533-position model. The record is from RNAcentral.
UACGUAGGGUGCGAGCGUUAAUCGGAAUUACUGGGCGUAAAGCGUGCGCAGGCGGUUUUGUAAGCCAGGUGUGAAAUCCCCGGGCUCAACCUGGGAAUGGCAUUUGGGACUGCAAGGCUGGAGUGCGGCAGAGGAGACUGGAAUUCCUGGUGUAGCAGUGAAAUGCGUAGAUAUCAGGAGGAACACCGAUGGCGAAGGCGACUCUCUGGUCUGUAACUGACGCUGAGGCGCGAAAGCGUGGGAGCAAACAGG